AAGAGAAUUAUACAAAAUAAACUCCCCCUCAUUCUCCUCCAUCAUCUUCACCACCUCAUCUUGGGAUGAAUCAAAUCGUAUUAGGACAGGUUUUGGAUGUCCCAGCAACGUACAAAGACAGAAGAAGGAAGAAGAAAAGGACAGAUCCAGCGAUAAGUACCCCCGUUCGGAAAUUAACCAUUUGUUCCUUUCUAGGUAAAAUACAUCCCCUUCCAUGUAACAUCCCUCCUCCGGUCUUCCUCAAACAAUAAUAUUCCUUUCCCUUCCUCAGGAUCUGCUCAAACCAUUCUUCGGAAUCAGAAAUAUCUACAUCUGAUUCAUAAGCCGUUAACCAAGACAACUCUGAUAUAUUCCUUAUGUUACUCUGAGAAUCCCUAAUUUGAGGUAUCCCUGUUCUUUUAUUUUUGAUAUUAAUAGGAACCUACAAAUACCUCAUAUAUGUAUUUUCCACCUCUGAUUUAAUUUCCCUCAGAAAUCUCCUAGAGUAACCCCUCUUUCUUAGGGAUGAAAACAAAACCCCAAUUGCUUCUUGCACAUGCUCCUUGUCUGUAUUAAUUUUAUAGAACCUGAUCAGCUGGGAUUUGACUAUACCCCUAAAGGUAUGUUUAGGAUGAUAACUCCCCUUCUGUAAAAGAGCAUGAGUAUCGGUACUUUUAAAAUGUACCUUAGCACAUAUUUGUUUCUGAAGUUCCGAAAUACCCCUAAAAUACACCUGAGUGUCCAAAAAGGUUAAGGACUCCAUACUUAAUUCUGCUGUUACUUUAAUGGUCUUAUGAAUAUUAUUCAGAGUAUCCACAAACUCAUGAAAUUCUCUCUCUGUAUACAACCAAAUCCCAAAAAUAUCAUCCAAGUACCUCAGAUACAAACAUGGUCACCUGUGACAUUUUGAGAAGGCCUCCUCCUCGCAUCUAGCCAUAUAAAUAUUAGCAUAAGAUGGGGCGUAUCUUUUCCCCAUCGCUGUUCCGUAGGUUUGUAAAUACAGACUCCCAUUAAAUUCAAAUUUGUUUGUUGUUAGAUUCAAUUUCAACAAAUUCAUUAAGUAUUCAUCAGGUCUAUCGCUAUCCGGAUAUUGUUCUAAAGUCUUUUUUACUGCUUCCAUACCCAAAUCUAUACUAAUGUUGUUAUAGAGGGAUUCCACGUCCAUGGAGAACAUGAAGGCCCCUUCUGAAAAAGAUCGAUCCCUAAUCAACUGCAAAAAAUGAUACGUGUCUCGCACAAAACUAUUGUGUUGACAAGCCAAUGGAUUAAGAUAAAAUUCAAUCCAUUCCGAAACCCUAUAUGAUUCAGAACUACAAUCAGAAAUAAUUGGUCUACCCGGUGGAAUCUGAAACGGGAUAGUCCACGUCUCUUGUUUCUUAUGCACUUUAGGUAAUAGAUAAAAUUUCUGUACUGAAGGAUCCGGUGGCCCUGCCAAAUAUCAUUUCUGUUGAGCCGAUAUAUAGCCGUCCUCCUGAAUCCUGUCUAACACCUUAAUCAUUUUAGUAUGUAUUUUGUCCCGAUUAGUUUUUUUAAGAGGUCUAUAAUGAAGUUGGUUAGACAAUUGAUGUUUGGCCUCCAAGAUCUACUGUUCCCUAUCCAUAAUAAUGGUCAAGGACCCUUUGUCUGCCGGUUUUAUAAUAAUUCGCUUAUUGUUUACCCUAAGAUACUCCAGAGAAGAUCUCUCAGCUUUUGUCAAAUUAUCUGGAGCCCCAGGAACUAGCUGCAUCUUUGCUAAGUCUUGUUUAUCAUCCUUUAUUAACUCUAAGAUAACCUGACUCAAUUUCUGGUUCUUGGGUUCCCAAUGAGAAGGCUCGACAAAGGUCUUUGGCGCCUGGCCUACCUCAUAUUCAAAAUAAUCUAAAAGCUUCAACCGACGAUGGUACUUAUAUACAUCCCUCCUAAUUUCAUCUAAGUCCAUUUUUACCGAUACUGGUACAAAAGUAAGCCCUUUUUGUAAAAGGGAUAUAUCUGAUUAUGCUAAUCUGAAAUUAUGAUUUAAAUUAAAAAUAUUACAUUCAGCUGAUAUGAACCUAUAUGAUUCUUGUAACAAAUCCAGACACUCUAGUCAAUGAUCAGCUAUAAAGAAGGACUGUUCCAGUGUCCAAUGCAAUUUAUCAUCCGGUUCCAAUUCUGCAUCACCUUGUCCCAGACUUUCUAUCACUUUCACCCCUGAUAAUAAAACUAACUUCUCAUUUAGUUGACAUAUCCUGGUGCAAACAUCUUCCGAUUGAUCCUUAACUGAGUAAGGAAUCUUAGCUAUAUAGAUACUAGCCCGUGGAAAUUUAUCUCUCAAAAUUGAAACCAAUGAUUGAACAUUGGGAAAUUGUAUGUCUACCAGUUUGUUCCCUAUUGCAAUCAUUUAAGCCAAUACAUACCAAAACCUUCAGUACUUUCCUAUCUAUUUUUUUAAUCCUACCUAUUACCUCCACCAGAUCCCUUACCCCUGCUCCCGGAAAACUAAAUGCCUCUAGUUGAUCCUGUCUAUAAUGUGGAAUUCUUGAGAUGUUAGAAUCCCCCAAUAUUAUGAAUGGUUUAGUAAUCUCUGGGAUUACCUUCUUAUCUUUCCGCCAAUCCCCCAACCUUAUAGGACGAUCCACAAUCUCAAUUUUAAAAAUAUCAUUCUGACUCUUAUUAAUGAUGGGAUCAGUUUGGGAUGUUGAAUCACCCCCAUUAUCUGGUGUCAACUCAUCCACUAUCAUCUUUUCUCCAUCCAUCGGUGUAGCUAUUACCUCCAAUUCUAUUGUAUUUAAAUACGUCUGUCCACCCUCACCAGAUGAAGUCCCUAUAACAGAAGGAUCAUGUACACAAGUUACCACCUGAUCUGUUGUUAAUUGCUCCCCCAUCGUCCUAAAUUCCUCUAUUCAUAGAUUUGCUAAAGAAUCUGUCCGUCCCUCGACUAAUCUUUGUCCUGUAAUCCCUUCCAUAUUUAAAUAGUUUUCCUGUUUUUCUAAUUCUCCAUUCCUCCCCAGUUUACUUUGAAUCCGAUCUCUCCCGUCCUCAAGAGAGGCUAUUCCUUUCUCCUCUCUCCCUGUUUGCUCCAAGGUCGUCCCAUCGGUAAGUAUCAAUCCAACCUGAUUUAUUUUCAUUUUAUUAACUUCUAAUCCUUUUUCUCCCACAGGUUCCCGUGAUUCCAGAUCCCGCAUACCCGGAGUAAAUACGUAUGUAGAUAUGGCACUUAUCUAGUGCCAGGUUGCUCCCCUGUAUAUGGAAGUCAUCCUGGAUAAAAGAACAUUGGAAACAUCAGGUGGAAAGAUUCUCUCAUCAUAUUGGAUGGCCAGCACAGACUCCACUAUAGAAAAACCCAGGAGUGGGUAGGCGGUCAGUUGGCCGAGGUCUCCAGGACUGUCACUCUGUGUGACUUUUUGUCUUCUCCAGUUGAGCUUCUCUGUUAUCAAUUGGCCAUAGCUCAUCAAUUAAUUAAUGGACAGAUAUUGUUGACGUCUCUUUAAGUGUAAUCAGUUUCCACCUUGUUUUCAUGUGUUUUAACAACAAUUUUUAUGUGUACGAAUUCUGAGUUUAGUAAUUAAUAUAAUCUAUGCUUCUGUUUUAAUGGAGAAUUGUACACAACGCUCUGCACCUGUGCUCAGUACUAUACAAAAAUAGGGUGAUUUGUAUUGAAUUUCCACUUUGGAGCCACGAUGAGCCCACCCUUCCACUUAAAACCUCUGAGUGCCAGAGGACAUUGUCUUCAAAGGCCUAAUCUUCAUGAGGACCACCUCCUUGAGGACUGAAAUAACGCGUCAAUCUACCAGGUGUACUUUUUAAAACCAAAUCUAGUUUCAUUUAGACAUUAAACAGAUACUCAUUUGUUCCCCAACCCUUUAGUUUGUCUUGUUACUUUUUUUUUUAAAUUUUGAAAAAUGAGCACAGGUAAUAAAAGUUACCCACUAUAUGUAAUAAACACUACAACACUAAACAGUCACCUGGAUAGGAGAGACAGGGCCAAUGAAGUUGUGCCUUUGUGUCACAAGCUUUCCAAAAGUUACUAAAUUAUUGUCUUUAUAUGACAUCCUUCUGAGCAUUAAUUUGCCAGUUUCUGCCCUUAGUCACAGCUGCAAAAUUUUUGGGACAACAAUUUUGGAAACAAAAAUUAAAUAAAAAGAUGCUCCCAUGAGGUGAAUUACAAGACAAGAAUGAUGUUAAUGAUGGAUAUUAUUUUGAACUUAACAAAGAUGAGGAAGGCACAAGACUUUCAUCUAUUCUGAUGAUUUCACUUCCUUCCCAAAAAGAGAUGUAUUGGUACUCAUCUGUGAAGAAGUCAGGGCGCAACAUAUAAUCACCUUCUUUGGUGGAAG
This is a long non-coding RNA of Polypterus senegalus (gray bichir), 4274 nucleotides long. RefSeq lists it as uncharacterized. The transcript is spliced from 3 exons. The record is from RefSeq and is a predicted model, not a curated record. Lineage: Eukaryota; Metazoa; Chordata; Cladistia; Polypteriformes; Polypteridae.